This 251-nucleotide long non-coding RNA is filed under the name Glycine max (soybean). Its description in RNAcentral is "long non-coding RNA (GMAX_LNC004685)". Lineage: Eukaryota; Viridiplantae; Streptophyta; Magnoliopsida; Fabales; Fabaceae. The record is from RNAcentral.
GAAGGGGCCUCUGUGUCACCGUAGCCACGGAGAUCAGGUGCCACCGCACGGUAACCGAGGGAGCUCAGAGCUAGAAUCUGGUGGCGCCAUGAGUACCAGAGUUCUGGGAAGCCGUGCAAGAACAACACCACUGCUCCUUCUCCUUUCUCUGCAACAUGCAUCUUUAUGCCGUUCACUUCCACCGUUCUGUGCUCUAUGCUCUCCAUCUCUCUCUCUCUCUACCUUCUGCAGCUAAACUCGGCAAUUCAACA